This is a long non-coding RNA of Nannospalax galili (Upper Galilee mountains blind mole rat), 1088 nucleotides long. RefSeq lists it as uncharacterized. NCBI's taxonomy places the organism in Eukaryota, Metazoa, Chordata, Mammalia, Rodentia, Spalacidae. The transcript has 3 exons. The record is from RefSeq and is a predicted model, not a curated record.
AUGCUCAACAUCUAGCUUAUGUCCAGCCCUUGCUCUAGCUGCUGCUGAUUCCUAUGUGUGCUGUGCCUCUGCCUUCUUCUGUCUCCCUGAUGAAUGUCCAUCCACCGCCAAAGCCUAGUUAUAUCUCUCCCUUUCCAGUGGCUGGGCCCUGUCCUGGUUACUUUUCUUUCUGAACUGCAUUCCUUUAAUUCAGCAGAUGCUGUGGCCCACCUUUUAUCAAGACCAUUUGUACACAGUUGUCUGGCUGCUUACGAAGUGGAGAGCCUAUGGAGGAAGGACUCCUCUCAGGAGACCCACAGAAGAAUGUGAUGGCUACUUUUGGUUGUCAGCUUGACUGGAUCUGGAAUCAACUAAAACACGAGCCACUGGACCCUCCUAUGAGGGACUUUCUUGAUCAGAUUAUUUGAAGUGGGAAGACCCACCUUAACUGUGGGCAAAACCUUCUGGUGCAGUCCAGAUAAAAAGUCAUUCAAGAAGCUUUUGCCUGCUGGCCUUCACUUUUGCUGUGGGCAAAGAUUAAUGCAAAGACUCAACUGGUCAAAAUGCUGAGAAAAAGUGACUGUUACACGCUCAGUCCAAAUAAGACAUCUAUAUCAUAUACCCCGUCUGCAAGGCUCAGGGGACACUGUGGACGAGGGGACCAAAAGAAUGAAGUGGAGGAGGGGGGAGUAUGGUGAAAGCUGUCUUCUGGACUGGACUCGAUGGGACCUCAGCCCUCAUGAACUCACAGCAGCUGUUAUUACCUGCAUAAAAGACCAGCACAGGAUGGAGCUCAUCAAAAUUCUAGAAUGUCUGGGGAGAGACUCAUAAGGCCACACCCCUAGUGGAGGAGUUAUUGGCAGUUAAUGGCUGCUGAAGGAGAGGGAGUCAUUUUUCUGGUUAAUAACCCCACACCCAUGCUCAUGAAAGCACCCCUAAUUCAACUCAGUGGGCCAUAAAAAGUAACAGACGUAAAAGUGGGAGAAGGAAAUCAGGAAGAAGAGGUUCAGAGGGGGUGAAGAUCAGAUUGUUAGAUACAUGUGUGACGUUAUUAAAGAAUAAAUAAAAAUAUUUGAUUAAAAGCUGUCAGCCUGGCAUGGUGGUACAUG